This 1640-nucleotide long non-coding RNA is filed under the name Triticum aestivum (bread wheat). Its description in RNAcentral is "long non-coding RNA (TAES_LNC027610)". The record is from RNAcentral. Lineage: Eukaryota; Viridiplantae; Streptophyta; Magnoliopsida; Poales; Poaceae.
GGAAGGCGCCGCCCUGUGAGGGGGCGCUGCGACGCGAAGUGGAACUGUGGAAGGUCGUUGAGUUACCGGCCACAAGGACGCGGCGUGCGCGGCUUGCGGAGAGGCGGGUGGAUGUGUGAUCCAGAAGACACUGGUGGCGUCGGUCAACGGGAGGAGGACGAGUAUUCAUGACACCGUACCCACCGUGGCUGGGGGCUGGGGCAGAGAAGGAAGUGGCCGGCGGCCGGCGGCCCGGCCUGGAUGGGUCGACGACGGCGACUCGAGGGAGGGGGCAGUCUACUCGAGUCAUCCCGCACUCUUUCUCUGCUCGAGUUAACCCGGAUGGAUGGAAUUUCGUUGCAGUCUUCAUAUGCCACCAACACUUUUCACUGGCAGAGGUAAGGUAACCAUCAAUGGCUUGUCUCGGUUGGAGAAAUGGAGUGCGUGGUAUGUCUGCGAUUAUUUUCUGCAAAAUUUACUGCGAUUUACUAGUUAGAAAUCUGGAAUUGCUCUAAACAGUACAUAUUGUUCGUCUGAUAUUUGCACUGUCUGGCAACAAGUCUAUGUAUACCUAAUGUGUAUUACUGACAGUAGAUAUCAUAUAAUUGACCAUUAUUUGCAUCUUCUCCAGUACGCCGACCUUUGUCCCAUCACCUCGUGAGCAGUACUAAUUUUCUUUCUCUAGCUUAAAUAUGAACCCUUAACUUGUUAAAUGUGUGAAUUCGAGCAAUAACUGUUUGAAGCAGAAUUGUCAAUAAUAAGUUAGAUAAUAUCUGCAUUGGCAUUUAGGGUAGGACUCUUUGGUGAGCAUAAACAACAUGUUUUGGGAAUUCCCAUGUUCAACUUUAGUGGAAAUGCUUUAGAAUAAGAUGGUCUUGUGAAACUACUUUCAGUGGCUAACUUUAUCACUGUGCCGACUACAUUGACGUUGGCUUUUGCUUCUCAUGUUGAAAAUUUAGUUCAGUAAUCCUUUUGAAAGGGCUAGUUCUGUUGUUUCUGUCCUUUCUUAAGAGAGAACGUACUAAAAUAAACCAGUGUAAUAUGAUUAUGUGAAAAUUUGAUUACUCAACCUGCUUUUGAUAAUCGGAAGUUUUUGGCAUGUCAUGCUCGCAUCUUAUGGAUAUUUGUCUGUUUUGGGCAUAGAACAACAGCAGUGGAGAUAUUUAAUGUCGGAAUGCUAUAUAUCUUGUCGUAUAUAGAGGAUGUUUGUAACUCGACAACCCUUUACAGACACUUGUAUUAUUGAAGGCAUUCAUUCUCCAAACCAGAUACAUUGAUGGAACAAAAAGAGUAAGAUGCAAUUUAAAAAAAUUCUGAUCAAUACAAGUUGUGGUAUCUAAAAUAUUUCCAGCAACUGCAAAACAUUCUUCACUAAGUAACUCGAGCAUCAAACCUUGAACAAAAAGAAAAUCAACCAGGCAUUAAGGGAAACAACAAAUGAAGCCACACAUCAGUUCGUAGCUGUGGUGCAGCACAUGCAAAUGGCAAAAAGGGAUGACUUUGGCUUCUGCUUUUCUUUGCUUCUAGGAGAACUAACCGUGGUGCUGUUCUUUCGAACCGGUUCUUGUUCCUUCAAUGGCGACCACGUUCCAAUGCCGUCCUCCGUCAUUAAGCUACGAAGUGGUUUAUUGUUUCUUGCAGAGUGAUUUGGCGCUCUGAAG